This 328-nucleotide ribosomal RNA is filed under the name uncultured eukaryote. RNAcentral describes it as "partial 18S ribosomal RNA". It matches the Rfam family "Eukaryotic small subunit ribosomal RNA", at positions 1470 to 1796 of the family's 1831-position model. The record is from RNAcentral.
CCCUUAGAUGUUCUGGGCGGCCCGCGCACUACAAUGGCGCUUUCAGCGAGUUCCUAUGUUGAAUUUUCCUUGGUAUUCUUGGAAGCGGCGUCUUGACUUGGGAUAGAUCCUUGUAAUUGUUGGUUUUGAACGAGGAAUUCCUUGUAAUCGCGGUUGAUCAGCUCGCGUUGAAUACGUCCCUGCCCUUUGUACACACCGCCCGUCGCUACUACCGAUCGAGCGCCCUAGCGAGGUCGUCCGAUUGUCGCCGAGGCCGGCUUUCGCGAGCUGCGCAUCCGACGAAAAGGCGAUCGAACUCGAGCGCUUAGAGGAAGUAAAAGUCGUAACA